This 425-nucleotide ribosomal RNA is filed under the name uncultured bacterium. RNAcentral's name for it is "bacterial SSU rRNA". It matches the Rfam family "Bacterial small subunit ribosomal RNA", at positions 354 to 796 of the family's 1533-position model. The record is from RNAcentral.
GUGGGGAAUAUUGGACAAUGGGCGCAAGCCUGAUCCAGCCAUGCCGCGUGAGUGAUGAAGGCCUUAGGGUUGUAAAGCUCUUUCACCGAUGAAGAUAAUGACGGUAGUCGGAGAAGAAGCCCCGGCUAACUUCGUGCCAGCAGCCGCGGUAAUACGAAGGGGGCUAGCGUUGUUCGGAUUUACUGGGCGUAAAGCGCACGUAGGCGGUUUGUUAAGUCAGGGGUGAAAUCCCGGAGCUCAACUCCGGAACUGCCUUUGAUACUGGCAAGCUAGAGUCCGGAAGAGGUAAGUGGAACUCCUAGUGUAGAGGUGGAAUUCGUAGAUAUUAGGAAGAACACCAGUGGCGAAGGCGGCUUACUGGUCCGGAACUGACGCUGAGGUGCGAAAGCGUGGGGAGCAAACAGGAUUAGAAACCCCAGUAGUCC